UCUUUCAUGGUGAAACGAGGGAAAAUUGGCGAAACAAUUGGUUGCUAAUUAUACUUAUAUUCCUGUGAUUUCAUAUACCAAAUUGAACUUCGGAACUUAUAUGCAUACUGUCAGUCAUUCCAACAAGUUGACUUAGCGCUCAGUAACUUUCCAUCCAAUAGAUCCUCAUACUGUCAAAAGCCUAAAACUAUUGUUUGAAACUCGCAUAUAGUGGAAUUCAAAUCUGCCGAGUUAAGAAGGCAACCCAAGUGAGAGAAAGGUGAACAUGUAUAAUGUGUGUGUACGCAUACAUGUUCCAGUUCUGCUUGAUUCCUUACUAAAUUCAUCGGCUGUAUGUUAAAGCAUCAGGAAAUUUAUCUCAACAUGAGGAGUAAGGCUGUUGGUUGCUG
Daphnia pulex (common water flea) is the source of this 389-nucleotide long non-coding RNA. RefSeq lists it as uncharacterized. Lineage: Eukaryota; Metazoa; Arthropoda; Branchiopoda; Diplostraca; Daphniidae. The record is from RefSeq and is a predicted model, not a curated record. The transcript has 4 exons.